Non-coding RNA from Potamilus streckersoni, 73 nucleotides. The record is from the annotation of a GenBank genome assembly. Lineage: Eukaryota; Metazoa; Mollusca; Bivalvia; Unionida; Unionidae.
GCUCCGGUGACCUGGUGGUUAGAGCGUCCGCUUCGGAUGCGGGAGAUCGCGGGUUCGAACCCCAACCGAAUCA